AAUAAGCUGUUGAGUGUGAUCUAUAUAUGCAAGUUUGCCUCUUUAAAAGAAGUGAUUGUGGAUUCUUUCUAGUAAAUAAUUUGAAUGGCAUCCCUCCUUCCCCUUUCUUCACAUCCCAAAAGUAGGUGAUGCAGAAGACCUAGGUGCUUGAACCUUUAACGUUGUGUAAUUUUCCAAAACAAUUGAUGGUCAAGAAUAACAAAAAAAGAAAAGACGCUAGUAUUAGACAUCCGUGCCGUGUUGAGAUAGCCUAUACGAAGUACGAGCCUUGAGCAUAUUUUUGGGAAUUAUCAAUCAAACCCUUUAAUCACUUUAGAGUUAAGUUUUAGUUUACUCAAAUCAUAACCCAACUUCUAUUUACUUUUCGAAUUAAAUUAGAAAUUGAUUUGAAGUACCGUAACUUAGCUUUUUACUUCCCAUGAAUGAUCUCGGUCUUAAUCAAUAUUCUACGAAGUAGUAGUUAACUCCUAGCUUUAUAAACUAUAAUUUUUUGUGUAGAAACGAUUAACCAAGUUUGGGUGACUUAGAUGAGCAAUGUGUGAUCGGUCAAGCUUUCGUUCUAGAUCCUCCAGUAAGCCAAGAAUAUUUUUUUGAGAAUAAAUUGCCCUUAACCUGAUCUCCACAGCAAUGCUUGUCUUUCCUUCGUAUAACCAUCCCCCAUCCCACCUUUUUCCAUUGGACAGAGAAGCUGCGCGCCUAUUUAUCUCCUCUAUUGGCAUUUUUUACCUUGGCGUGCAUGUGUCAUGCUUCAAAGUCUCUCGUUCAUCAGUUUAAGACACAAACCUUAUGCUGAAUUGCCAAGAUAGGCUUCACAUGUGAGGAUUUCCUUUGUGAAGAUACCCGCGUGAAUGUGGUACCCUUGAAUCUCUUGAAGGAACUUCAUCUAUUGAGGCUGAAGAUCGUCAAGAGAUCGAUGAUUGAUAUGGCAUUGCACAAGUACUUUGAAAAGGAUCGAUAUCUUACCAGAGGUGAUGUUUUCUGUCUCCACGACAUCAAUUGGAGUUGCAAGUCUUUGUUUCUUGCAGCCGAAAGAUGCAAAUAGGCAGUGAUGACAUAAUCUACUUCAAGGUCAUGGCUAUGGAGCCAUCUGAUGAACCCAUUCUUAGAGUCAAUCGGACCAAAACAGCACUUGUUCUUGGAGGGAGUGUUCCUUCUGCUGUUCCUCCGGAUCUGUUAAUAUCUAGAUCAAAAGGUUCUGUGCCUUUACAGGGGGAUACCGUUGAGAAUUUGGCCUCCAUUCUCACGUACGCCACCUCUAUGUCUAUCCUCACUCUCAUCAAAAGUUCAGAGUUUCUGUCCUGUUGCAUGCAUGGUUUGCCUGCAGAUUGGGCCUUCAUGUAAUGGAAUGUAGUUGCCAUACUCUGAUGGCAUAUCCUCCGAAAGAAAGAAAUCUACCGCAUUAGCAGAAAGAAGCUUUCAGAACAGCUCGCAAGUACAUCUUCUCUACCUUUUCUCUUCCCCUCGCCCCCAUCUCCUGCCGCGCUGUAGGGUUUUCAAGCAAAAAUUGAAGAUUCUGAGCAAGAACUUGAUUGCCCUCGCGCCCCAGGGGAUGUAGGAGACCCGUUUUGUUAUGUUCAACAAUAUCUUUUGUGCCCCCAGCA
Long non-coding RNA from Rhododendron vialii, 1601 nucleotides. RefSeq lists it as uncharacterized. Lineage: Eukaryota; Viridiplantae; Streptophyta; Magnoliopsida; Ericales; Ericaceae. The transcript is spliced from 4 exons. The record is from RefSeq and is a predicted model, not a curated record.